CGAGAAGCUUCAAUCUCAUAAGCAAGAAGGCUCGGCAGUUCGUCUUUGGCAAUCUUGCUAAAAUGCUUUAUUUACUGCAGGCAAUGGAAAUGAUGAAGGUUAGCAGCAUGAAUCGCCCUUCGCUAUCAAAAUUUCUUCAACGCAUUUGUACAACAAAAGACAAAUUAUCCAUUAGAGUGGAGAUUCAUGGAAGCAGUAGGUGGUAAUUCUCAAGAGCACCUGCAUCCGAUUCCGAGCUUUGAUUGUUCUGAUCGGUCACAGUGGAACUGCUGUUUGUUUCGUAUUUCCUCUGUUUCAACCAACAAGGCACCAGGGAAGGAGGCAACACCACUUCAAAGAGAAAACCACAGGUGCAAGAAUUUCAUACUUUGUUUUUUCUGUAACUCAAAGUGAUGGGUGCAAGAAUUUCAAGAGUUUGGCAUAAUUUU
This is a long non-coding RNA of Salvia miltiorrhiza (redroot sage), 428 nucleotides long. RefSeq lists it as uncharacterized. The transcript has 3 exons. The record is from RefSeq and is a predicted model, not a curated record. Lineage: Eukaryota; Viridiplantae; Streptophyta; Magnoliopsida; Lamiales; Lamiaceae.